Brassica napus (rape) is the source of this 125-nucleotide non-coding RNA. The record is from Rfam. Lineage: Eukaryota; Viridiplantae; Streptophyta; Magnoliopsida; Brassicales; Brassicaceae.
GGAAUAUAAAAACUCAUUUUUUAACUUUUAGCUAAAAAAGUUAAGAACCGACUCUUAAAUAAAACAUUUAAAAGCCGGUUCUUAGCUUUUUUAAUUAAAAGUUAAGAGACGGAUUCCUAUAUUUC